This 301-nucleotide ribosomal RNA is filed under the name uncultured bacterium. Its description in RNAcentral is "partial 16S ribosomal RNA". It matches the Rfam family "Bacterial small subunit ribosomal RNA", at positions 509 to 807 of the family's 1533-position model. The record is from RNAcentral.
CAGUCGCCGCGGUAAUACGGAGGGUGCAAGCGUUAAUCGGAAUUACUGGGCGUAAAGCGCACGCAGGCGGUCUGACAAGUCAGAUGUGAAAUCCCCGGGCUUAACCUGGGAACUGCAUUUGAAACUGUCAGGCUGGAGUCUUGUAGAGGGGGGUGGAAUUCCAGGUGUAGCGGUGAAAUGCGUAGAGAUCUGGAGGAAUACCGGUGGCGAAGGCGGCCCCCUGGACAAAGACUGACGCUCAGGUGCGAAAGCGUGGGGAGCAAACAGGAUUAGAUAACCGCGUAGUCCCUGUCUCUUAUAC